UGCAAGUCGAGCGGCAGCGACUUAACUGAACCUUCGGGGAACGUUAAGGGCGGCGAGCGGCGGACGGGUGAGUAAUGCCUGGGAAUAUACCCUGAUGUGGGGGAUAACUAUUGGAAACGAUAGCUAAUACCGCAUAAUCUCUUCGGAGCAAAGAGGGGGACCUUCGGGCCUCUCGCGUCAGGAUUAGCCCAGGUGGGAUUAGCUUGUUGGUGAGGUAAUGGCUCACCAAGGCGACGAUCCCUAGCUGGUCUGAGAGGAUGAUCAGCCACACUGGAACUGAGACACGGUCCAGACUCCUACGGGAGGCAGCAGUGGGGAAUAUUGCACAAUGGGGGAAACCCUGAUGCAGCCAUGCCGCGUGUGUGAAGAAGGCCUUCGGGUUGUAAAGCACUUUCAGUAGGGAGGAAGGUAGUGUAGUUAACACCUGCAUUAUUUGACGUUACCUACAGAAGAAGCACCGGCUAACUCCGUGCCAGCAGCCGCGGUAAUACGGAGGGUGCGAGCGUUAAUCGGAAUUACUGGGCGUAAAGCGCAUGCAGGCGGCCUGUUAAGUCAGAUGUGAAAGCCCGGGGCUUAACCUCGGAAUUGCAUUUGAAACUGGCAGGCUAGAGUCUUGUAGAGGGGGGUAGAAUUUCAGGUGUAGCGGUGAAAUG
RNAcentral lists this ribosomal RNA (653 nucleotides) under uncultured Photobacterium sp. Its description in RNAcentral is "bacterial SSU rRNA". It matches the Rfam family "Bacterial small subunit ribosomal RNA", at positions 56 to 688 of the family's 1533-position model. Lineage: Bacteria; Pseudomonadati; Pseudomonadota; Gammaproteobacteria; Vibrionales; Vibrionaceae. The record is from RNAcentral.